Molecule: ribosomal RNA, 1161 nt
Filed under: Salmonella enterica subsp. enterica
Lineage: Bacteria; Pseudomonadati; Pseudomonadota; Gammaproteobacteria; Enterobacterales; Enterobacteriaceae
Description: bacterial LSU rRNA
Rfam family: Bacterial large subunit ribosomal RNA
Source: RNAcentral
GUUGGGUAGGGGAGCGUUCUGUAAGCCUGUGAAGGUGGCCUGUGAGGGUUGCUGGAGGUAUCAGAAGUGCGAAUGCUGACAUAAGUAACGAUAAAGCGGGUGAAAAGCCCGCUCGCCGGAAGACCAAGGGUUCCUGUCCAACGUUAAUCGGGGCAGGGUGAGUCGACCCCUAAGGCGAGGCCGAAAGGCGUAGUCGAUGGGAAACGGGUUAAUAUUCCCGUACUUGGUGUUACUGCGAAGGGGGGACGGAGAAGGCUAUGUUGGCCGGGCGACGGUUGUCCCGGUUUAAGCGUGUAGGUGUGUGUUCCAGGUAAAUCCGGUUCACUUUAACACUGAGGCGUGACGACGAGGCACUACGGUGCUGAAGCAACAAAUGCCCUGCUUCCAGGAAAAGCCUCUAAGCAUCAGGUAACAUCAAAUCGUACCCCAAACCGACACAGGUGGUCAGGUAGAGAAUACCAAGGCGCUUGAGAGAACUCGGGUGAAGGAACUAGGCAAAAUGGUGCCGUAACUUCGGGAGAAGGCACGCUGAUAUGUAGGUGAAGCGGUUUACCCGUGGAGCUGAAAUCAGUCGAAGAUACCAGCUGGCUGCAACUGUUUAUUAAAAACACAGCACUGUGCAAACACGAAAGUGGACGUAUACGGUGUGACGCCUGCCCGGUGCCGGAAGGUUAAUUGAUGGGGUCAGCGCAAGCGAAGCUCCUGAUCGAAGCCCCGGUAAACGGCGGCCGUAACUAUAACGGUCCUAAGGUAGCGAAAUUCCUUGUCGGGUAAGUUCCGACCUGCACGAAUGGCGUAAUGAUGGCCAGGCUGUCUCCACCCGAGACUCAGUGAAAUUGAACUCGCUGUGAAGAUGCAGUGUACCCGCGGCAAGACGGAAAGACCCCGUGAACCUUUACUAUAGCUUGACACUGAACAUUGAGCCUUGAUGUGUAGGAUAGGUGGGAGGCUUUGAAGCGUGGACGCCAGUCUGCGUGGAGCCGACCUUGAAAUACCACCCUUUAAUGUUUGAUGUUCUAACGUGGACCCGUAAUCCGGGUUGCGGACAGUGUCUGGUGGGUAGUUUGACUGGGGCGGUCUCCUCCUAAAGAGUAACGGAGGAGCACGAAGGUUGGCUAAUCCUGGUCGGACAUCAGGAGGUUAGUGCAAUGGCAUAAGCCA